UGGGGAACGAUUUACACUCCCAACCCACUGUGAACCUUACCUCAGUUGCCUCGGCGGGAACGCCCCGGCCGCCUGCCCCCGCGCCGGCGCCGGACCCAGGCGCCCGCCGCAGGGACCCCAAACUCUCUUGCAUUACGCCCAGCGGGCGGAAUUUCUUCUCUGAGUUGCACAAGCAAAAACAAAUGAAUCAAAACUUUCAACAACGGAUCUCUUGGUUCUGGCAUCGAUGAAGAACGCAGCGAAAUGCGAUAAGUAAUGUGAAUUGCAGAAUUCAGUGAAUCAUCGAAUCUUUGAACGCACAUUGCGCCCGCCAGCAUUCUGGCGGGCAUGCCUGUUCGAGCGUCAUUUCAACCCUCGAGCCCCCCCGGGGGCCUCGGUGUUGGGGGACGGCACACCAGCCGCCCCCGAAAUGCAGUGGCGACCCCGCCGCAGCCUCCCCUGCGUAGUAGCACACACCUCGCACCGGAGCGCGGAGGCGGUCACGCCGUAAAACGCCCAACUUUCUUAGAGUUGACCUCGGAUCAGGUAGGAAUACCCGCUGAACUUAAGCAUAUCAAUAAGCGGAGGAA
Molecule: ribosomal RNA, 569 nt
Filed under: fungal sp. E301
Lineage: Eukaryota; Fungi
Description: eukaryotic LSU rRNA
Rfam family: 5.8S ribosomal RNA (bases 192-345)
Source: RNAcentral